AUGGGUUAAUGCACACGUACUAAAAAUUUGGAACCACACAGUGAAGAUGAGCGUGGCAGCCGUGCAAGGAUGACACGCGGAGACCCGGGAGCUUCUGCAGGUGGAC
This 106-nucleotide small nuclear RNA is filed under the name Neogale vison (American mink). The record is from RNAcentral. Lineage: Eukaryota; Metazoa; Chordata; Mammalia; Carnivora; Mustelidae.